This 254-nucleotide ribosomal RNA is filed under the name uncultured bacterium. RNAcentral's name for it is "partial 16S ribosomal RNA". It matches the Rfam family "Bacterial small subunit ribosomal RNA", at positions 524 to 776 of the family's 1533-position model. The record is from RNAcentral.
UACGUAGGGUGCGAGCGUUGUCCGGAAUUAUUGGGCGUAAAGAGCUCGUAGGCGGUCUGUCGCGUCGGUCGUGAAAACUUGGGGCUUAACCCUGAGCUUGCGGUCGAUACGGGCAUGACUGGAGUUCGGCAGGGGAGACUGGAAUUCCUGGUGUAGCGGUGAAAUGCGCAGAUAUCAGGAGGAACACCGAUGGCGAAGGCAGGUCUCUGGGCCACUACUGGCGCUGAGAAGCGAAAGCAUGGGGAGCGAACAGG